Molecule: ribosomal RNA, 253 nt
Filed under: uncultured bacterium
Lineage: Bacteria
Description: partial 16S ribosomal RNA
Rfam family: Bacterial small subunit ribosomal RNA
Source: RNAcentral
UACGAGUACCCCAAGCGUUAUCCGGAAUCACUGGGCGUAAAGGGCGUGUAGGCGGUCAGGUAAGUGGGAUGUGAAAUGCCCCGGCUCACCCGGGGACCGGCAUCCCAUACUGCUUGGCUUGAGUACGGGAGAGGAUGUGGGAAUUCCUGGUGUAGCGGUGAAAUGCGUAGAUAUCAGGAGGAACACCGGUGGCGAAGGCGCACAUCUGGCCCGAUACUGACGCUGAGGCGCGAAAGCUAGGGGAGCAAACGGG